GGGUGCGAUCAUACCAGCACUAAUGCACCGGAUCCCAUCAGAACUCCGCAGUUAAGCGUGCUUGGGCGAGAGUAGUACUAGGUUGGGUGACCUCCUGGGAAGUCCUCGUGUUGCACCCCUUU
RNAcentral lists this ribosomal RNA (122 nucleotides) under Brassica oleracea (wild cabbage). The record is from RNAcentral. Lineage: Eukaryota; Viridiplantae; Streptophyta; Magnoliopsida; Brassicales; Brassicaceae.